GAUGAAGAACGUAGCGAAAUGCGAUAAGUAAUGUGAAUUGCAGAAUUCAGUGAAUCAUCGAAUCUUUGAACGCACAUUGCGCCCACCAGUAUUCUGGCGGGCAUGCCUGUUCGAGCGUCAUUUCAACCCUCAAGCCCCCGGGCUUGGUGUUGGGGAUCGGCGUGCCCUCGCGGCGCGCCGUCCCCUAAAUCUAGUGGCGGUCUCGCUGUAGCUUCCUCUGCGUAGUAGCAACACUCGCACUGGAUCGCAGCGCGGCCACGCCGUUAAACCCCCCACUUCUGAAAGUUUGACCUCGGAUCAGGUAGGAAUACCCGCUGAACUUAAGCAUAUCAAUAAGCGGAGGA
This 344-nucleotide unclassified non-coding RNA is filed under the name soil metagenome. RNAcentral's name for it is "partial contains 5.8S ribosomal RNA, internal transcribed spacer 2, and large subunit ribosomal RNA". The stretch from base 1 to 120 matches the Rfam family "5.8S ribosomal RNA", at positions 35 to 154 of the family's 154-position model. The record is from RNAcentral.